GAUGAAGAACGUAGCGAAAUGCGAUAAGUAAUGUGAAUUGCAGAAUUCAGUGAAUCAUCGAAUCUUUGAACGCACAUUGCGCCCAUUAGUAUUCUAGUGGGCAUGCCUGUUCGAGCGUCAUUAAUUCCACUUAAGCCCUGCUUAGUGUUGGGAAUCUACUCUAGUGGUGCUACCCUGGAGCUACCCCUGAAAGGGGGCUGGCCCGGUAGCUACCCUGUAGUUCCUCAAAGAUAGUGCGCGGAGUUGCGUGGUCCUCUGAGCUUAGUAACUAUACACCUAGCUUUUGAGUGUCCCGCGGCGCCUGCCGUUUAAACCCCAUCUUUUAAUGGUUGACCUCGGAUCAGGUAGGAAUACCCGCUGAACUUAAGCAUAUCAAUAAGCGGAAGA
RNAcentral lists this unclassified non-coding RNA (387 nucleotides) under soil metagenome. RNAcentral describes it as "partial contains 5.8S ribosomal RNA, internal transcribed spacer 2, and large subunit ribosomal RNA". The stretch from base 1 to 120 matches the Rfam family "5.8S ribosomal RNA", at positions 35 to 154 of the family's 154-position model. The record is from RNAcentral.